RNAcentral lists this ribosomal RNA (619 nucleotides) under Leuconostoc lactis. RNAcentral's name for it is "bacterial SSU rRNA". It matches the Rfam family "Bacterial small subunit ribosomal RNA", at positions 77 to 688 of the family's 1533-position model. The record is from RNAcentral. Lineage: Bacteria; Bacillati; Bacillota; Bacilli; Lactobacillales; Lactobacillaceae.
UGCUUGCACCUUUCAAGCGAGUGGCGAACGGGUGAGUAACACGUGGAUAACCUGCCUCAAGGCUGGGGAUAACAUUUGGAAACAGAUGCUAAUACCGAAUAAAACUUAGUAUCGCAUGAUACAAAGUUGAAAGGCGCUACGGCGUCACCUAGAGAUGGGUCCGCGGUGCAUUAGUUAGUUGGUGGGGUAAAGGCCUACCAAGACAAUGAUGCAUAGCCGAGUUGAGAGACUGAUCGGCCACAUUGGGACUGAGACACGGCCCAAACUCCUACGGGAGGCUGCAGUAGGGAAUCUUCCACAAUGGGCGAAAGCCUGAUGGAGCAACGCCGCGUGUGUGAUGAAGGCUUUAGGGUCGUAAAGCACUGUUGUAUGGGAAGAAAUGCUAGAAUAGGGAAUGAUUCUAGUUCGACGGUACCAUACCAGAAAGGGACGGCUAAAUACGUGCCAGCAGCCGCGGUAAUACGUAUGUCCCGAGCGUUAUCCGGAUUUAUUGGGCGUAAAGCGAGCGCAGACGGUUGAUUAAGUCUGAUGUGAAAGCCCGGAGCUCAACUCCGGAAUGGCAUUGGAAACUGGUUAACUUGAGUGUUGUAGAGGUAAGUGGAACUCCAUGGUUUAUACC